GAACUAUUUAAACAUUUAUGGCUAGUUAGCAGCAGUUGUCAGCACAUCUCAUUACAAAAAUCAGGGAGUGAUAGUUGGACGAGAGUAAAAAUGGGGCAUUUAACUCGCAACAAAUAACAAAAGAAGUAUCAUGGUUGCCGGUCUAGGCUUCGUUUUUGUCUAGGCUUUGUUUUGGUGUAGGCUUUAACAAUCAUUAAGCAAGCACAACUGACUCCCCUUCAGAAAGAAUCUUUCAAGAGUUAAGAUCCAUGCCUCCCGUGUUUCCGUCAUCUUCUUCUCUGAAUCACACUCUGUCUUCAGCUGAUUUCAGUUAUGCGUUCAGUCCUCUAUGCAUUUCAUUCAUUUCUUUCAUCUCUGCUUUCACAUACUUC
This 371-nucleotide long non-coding RNA is filed under the name Gallus gallus (chicken). Lineage: Eukaryota; Metazoa; Chordata; Aves; Galliformes; Phasianidae. The record is from RNAcentral.